This 118-nucleotide small nuclear RNA is filed under the name Rhinolophus ferrumequinum (greater horseshoe bat). RNAcentral describes it as "U2 spliceosomal RNA (ENSRFEG00010021392.1)". It matches the Rfam family "U2 spliceosomal RNA". From Rfam's summary of the family: U2 is a small nuclear RNA (snRNA) component of the spliceosome (involved in pre-mRNA splicing). Lineage: Eukaryota; Metazoa; Chordata; Mammalia; Chiroptera; Rhinolophidae. The record is from Rfam by way of RNAcentral.
AUCGCUUCUCAGCCUUUUGGCUAAGAUCAAGUGUAGCAUCUGUUCUUAUCAGUUUAAAAACACACACACACAAAUACAGAUGAAGUAAUAUAAAAACCAAACUUAGGUAUAAACUUUA